Molecule: ribosomal RNA, 520 nt
Filed under: uncultured Glomus
Lineage: Eukaryota; Fungi; Glomeromycota; Glomeromycetes; Glomerales; Glomeraceae
Description: SSU rRNA
Rfam family: Eukaryotic small subunit ribosomal RNA
Source: RNAcentral
AGCAGCCGCGGUAAUUCCAGCUCCAAUAGCGUAUAUUAAAGUUGUUGCAGUUAAAAAGCUCGUAGUUGAAUUUCGGGAUCAAUACGUUGGUCGUGCUUUCGGGUACGUACUGGCGUCAUUGGUUUCUCUCUUCUGACGAACCAUGAUGUCAUUAGUUUGGUGUUAUGGGGAGUUAGGACUGUUACUUUGAAAAAAUUAGAGUGUUUAAAGCAGGCUCGCGCUUGAAUACAUUAGCAUGGAAUAAUGAAAUAGGAUGUUUGACCCUAUUUUGUUGGUUUCUAGGAUCGACGUAAUGAUUAAUAGGGAUAGUUGGGGGCAUUAGUAUUCAAUUGUCAGAGGUGAAAUUCUUGGAUUUAUUGAAGACUAACUACUGCGAAAGCAUUUGCCAAGAAUGUUUUCAUUAAUCAAGAACGAAAGUUAGGGGAUCGAAGACGAUCAGAUACCGUCGUAGUCUUAACCAUAAACUAUGCCGACUAGGGAUCGGAUGAUGUUAUUUUUAAUGACUCAUUCGGCGCCUUAC